RNAcentral lists this ribosomal RNA (385 nucleotides) under uncultured bacterium. RNAcentral's name for it is "bacterial SSU rRNA". It matches the Rfam family "Bacterial small subunit ribosomal RNA", at positions 30 to 419 of the family's 1533-position model. The record is from RNAcentral.
AUUGAACGCUGGCGGAAUGCUUUACACAUGCAAGUCGAACGGCAGCACGGGGCAACCUGGUGGCGAGUGGCGAACGGGUGAGUAAUACAUCGGAACGUGCCCAAUCGUGGGGGAUAACGUAGCGAAAGUUACGCUAAUACCGCAUACGAUCUACGGAUGAAAGCGGGGAUCGCAAGACCUCGCGCGAAUGGAGCGGCCGAUGUCAGAUUAGGUAGUUGGUGGGGUAAAGGCUCACCAAGCCAACGAUCUGUAGCUGGUCUGAGAGGACGACCAGCCACACUGGAACUGAGACACGGUCCAGACUCCUACGGGAGGCAGCAGUGGGAAUUUUGGACAAUGGGCGCAAGCCUGAUCCAGCCAUUCCGCGUGCAGGAUGAAGGCCUUC